AAUCAUUUCCCAAGCUUGUGCUAACUUGAACUGCAUCAGUAUUGAUGGAGGUGAGGCGUGGAGCACGCAAGCAAAACACCUGCCCACAUGUGCAAAUUCCUAGUAAGCAUAGUCCAGAUGUGCAGUAACUGACGUUAUAUGAAGGAAUUUGGCACCCCAGUCCUGAGCUCCAUUUUCACUGUAUCACACAAGGCAAGUUUUACCCUGGCUAUACGAGUGGC
This 221-nucleotide unclassified non-coding RNA is filed under the name Hevea brasiliensis (rubber tree). Lineage: Eukaryota; Viridiplantae; Streptophyta; Magnoliopsida; Malpighiales; Euphorbiaceae. The record is from RNAcentral.